CGGGAAGUUGUGCUGGGAGUGCCGCGAGUACCGAGCCGAGCCGAGCCCGCCGCCGAUCCCGCCAUGUCGGGCUCCUCCAACGUGGCGGCCAUGAAGAAGGUGGUGCAGCAGCUGCGCCUAGAGGCGAGUGUGACCCGCGUGAAGGUUUCUCAAGCUGCAGCUGACUUGAAGCAGUUUUGCCUGCAGAAUGCACAGCAUGAUCCCCUACUGACAGGGGUAUCAUCAAGUACAAAUCCAUUCAGACCCCAGAAAGUUUGUUCAUUUUUGUAAUACGUGAACUGCUUCAGUUUCUUUCAGUGGUUCAUUAGUACUACUGCUAUCACCAGGAAGACUACUCACUCAUCUGGCAUUUUGGUGACUAGAUUUUAGGCUAACCUCUUUAGAAAGAUCUUUUAGCAUCUUUUCCUACCUGCUGAUGUGUGUAUGGGCAGAGUGCCUCAAGGAGCGGCCUGGUUUGAAGUCUGUACAAAAGCUUAGCUUUAACGUGCCAAAUCUAACUCUAAAAGUGCUACUGUCGUCAAACUUCUUACCAUCUACCUCUCCAGAUGAACUGUAUGCUAGUUACGUGUUUCUGUUUCAUAUGGGAAUCAGUUUUAUAUGCCAAGCAAAAAAUAAAAGUGUCUUGACUUAGUCUGGUCUUGAAAUUACUGUAAGAAUUUUAUUAACUUCUGGGUAUGGUGACACCUCACAGUCAGUGCCUCACGCUGUAGCAGCUGGAGAGCAGAGAGAGGAGCUGUAAAUAUUCUCUGCUGCUGCAAGUCUGCCUGGGGUUAACAGUACUUCAGAACAAUGAGGCUCCAGCAGUACCAUACUUAGAAGCAUAACAGAAAUAGAACAGGAAAAAUUUUUGGACUGUUUAUAAUUCAGCUAUACAGCUGUGCCAUAUCCUAGACAUCAUAUCAAGACAGUAAAUUACUCUUUAUCUUAAUUCUAUCUUAGGAGAUAACUUACUCUAUGUGCCUUCUUAUUCAUUAGGUAAAUAUGAAAAAGCACUUAACAGCUGUGUAUGAAAAGAAAGUAGCUCAAAGCAAACCUGACCUUUUAGCUGCCACACAAUGUGCCAACUUAGGGAAAAAGUUUAUGUGCAGAUAAUACUAAUUUGAGUGUUACUAUGAGGCUGAAGAAGCAUUUUUAAAAUUUUAAUGGGGAAAACCCUGCUCAGGGACCUCACACAGUCACUGAGCAGCAUUUUUAGGUGGUAGCUUUAUGUAGUUCCUGUACGGGGGUUUUGUGAAUUCUUUCCCAUCUGUCUUUGCUUCCUUUCAACUGCUUUGGGUAUACAGACUUAUUGUAAAUGUGACAUUUACAGAAGAGAUACCUGUAGGAGUUAUGCAUAUUGUUUUUGUUAACUUCAGCAACAUGCCUAUGUUAUGCAAAAUGCUAAUGAAAUAAAGUAACAUGGAUUUCA
This is an RNA transcript of Cinclus cinclus, 1408 nucleotides long. It is a transcript of the gene named G protein subunit gamma 5, with no coding region annotated. Lineage: Eukaryota; Metazoa; Chordata; Aves; Passeriformes; Cinclidae. The record is from RefSeq and is a predicted model, not a curated record. The transcript is spliced from 4 exons.